GUAAAAAGUGGGUCUGUUCUGCCAGGUAGGAGAAGGAAGAAAUGUAUGAUGGCAAUCAGAAAAGUUGGAAUGGAGGGCCCAUGAAAAUUAUUCUGGGUAAAGAGGACGUAGAUAAAUAAUUUCUCUGCAACACUGGUCUCCAGUGAUCCACACUACCAGGAGCAGCAUGGAUCAUCUGGGUAUGCGGCAGCAUGCUGAGGAAAUCUCCAACUAUCAUCUGGGGGGAAGCUGAGAUUAAGGUAUCCUAGAGAGAGCUCCCUGCUGCUUCAGUGAAGUUGACAGAAAGGAGAUGGGAGGAUUGCAAACUUCCUAACAGGUGCCUUGACUGUUGCAUGAUGGGCAGAAAUGUAAUAGAGGCAACUUUCCUCAUUUCUGUGGGUCUAUGCUAUGCUAUGGAACAGCUUCAUCAGUUCAAUUCUGCCUGUUAUAUAGCUUUUAAAGGCACAUCAGCCACUUUAGGAAAA
Hemicordylus capensis (graceful crag lizard) is the source of this 464-nucleotide long non-coding RNA. RefSeq lists it as uncharacterized. NCBI's taxonomy places the organism in Eukaryota, Metazoa, Chordata, Lepidosauria, Squamata, Cordylidae. The record is from RefSeq and is a predicted model, not a curated record. The transcript has 3 exons.